This 272-nucleotide ribosomal RNA is filed under the name uncultured Staphylococcus sp. RNAcentral's name for it is "partial 16S ribosomal RNA". It matches the Rfam family "Bacterial small subunit ribosomal RNA", at positions 90 to 355 of the family's 1533-position model. Lineage: Bacteria; Bacillati; Bacillota; Bacilli; Caryophanales; Staphylococcaceae. The record is from RNAcentral.
CGUUAGCGGCGGACGGGUGAGUAACACGUGGGUAACCUACCUAUAAGGCUGGGAUAACUUCGGGAAACCGGAGCUAAUACCGGAUAAUAUUUCGAACCGCAUGGUUCGAUAGUGAAAGAUGGUUUUGCUAUCACUUAUAGAUGGACCUGCGCCGUAUUAGCUAGUUGGUAAGGUAACGGCUUACCAAGGCGACGAUACGUAGCCGACCUGAGAGGGUGAUCGGCCACACUGGAACUGAGACACGGUCCAGACUCCUACGGGAGGCAGCAGCU